Molecule: ribosomal RNA, 254 nt
Filed under: uncultured bacterium
Lineage: Bacteria
Description: partial 16S ribosomal RNA
Rfam family: Bacterial small subunit ribosomal RNA
Source: RNAcentral
GACGAACCGUGCGAACGUUAUUCGGAAUCACUGGGCUUAAAGCGCGUGUAGGCGGGCCGGCACGUCGGUCGCUGAAAUCCCCCGGCUCAACCGGGGAAGGGGCGCCGAUACGACCGGCCUGGAGGGGCGUAGGGGGAUCGGGAACUUCCGGUGGAGCGGUGAAAUGCGUUGAGAUCGGAAGGAACGCCCGUGGCGAAAGCGCGGUCCUGGACGCCAUCUGACGCUGAGACGCGAAAGCCAGGGGAGCGAACGGG